UACCAGCACCCCGAGUGGUCGGGACGAUUAUUGGGCCUAAAGCAUCCGUAGCCGGUUUUACAAGUCCUCCGUUAAAUCCAGCUGCUUAACAGAUGGGCUGCGGAGGAUACUAUAAGACUAGGAGGCAGGAGAGGCAAGCGGUACUCAGUGGGUAGGGGUAAAAUCCGUUGAUCCAUUGAAGAACACCAGUGGCGAAGGCGGCCUGCCAGAAUGCGCUCGACGGUGAGGGAUGAAAGCUGGGGGAGCAAACCGG
Molecule: ribosomal RNA, 253 nt
Filed under: uncultured bacterium
Lineage: Bacteria
Description: partial 16S ribosomal RNA
Rfam family: Archaeal small subunit ribosomal RNA
Source: RNAcentral